CCGAGAAAACACCAAAUGGUGGAUGACGCCGGUGCAGCGUGGGGGCCGGAGGCCCUGGUGGCCCUGGGAUGGGGAACCGCGGUGGCUUCCGUGGAGGUUUCCGCAGUGGCAUCCGGCGCCGGGGUCGCGGCGGUGGACGGUGCCGGGGCCGGGGCCGAGGCCGCGGAGCUUGCGGAGCCAAGGCCGAGGAUAAGGAGUGGAUGCCCAUCACCAAGCUGGGCCACUUGGUCAAGGACAUGAAGAUCAAGUACCUGAGGGAGAUCUACCUCUUCUCCCUGCCCAUUAAGGAAUCUGAGAUCAUUGACUUUUUCUUGGGGGCGUCUCUCAAGGACGAGGUUUUGAAGAUUAUGCCGGUGCAGUAGCAGACCGGUGCUGGCCAGCGCACCAGGUUCAAGGCGUUUGUUGCUAUCGGGGACUACAAUGGCCACGUCCGCCUGGGUGUUAAGUGCCUCAAGGAGGUGGCCACCGCCAUUCGUAGGGUCAUCAUCCUGGCAAAAACUCUCCAUUGUCCCCCUGCGCAGAGGCUACUGGGGGAACAAGAUCGGCAAGCCCCACACCAUCCCUUGCAAGGUGACAGGCUGCUGCGGCUCUGUGCUGGGGCGCCUCAUCCCUGCACCCAGGGGCACUGGCAUCGUCUCAGCGCCUGUGCCCAAGAAGCUGCUCAUGAUGGCUGGUAUCGAUGACUGCUACACCUCAGUCCGGGGCUGCACUGCCACCCUGGGCAACUUCGCCAAGGCCACCUUUGAUGCCAUCUCUAAGACCUACAGCUACCUGACCCCUGACCUCUGGAAGGAGACUGUAUUUACCGUCUCCCUAUCAGGAAUUCACUGACCACCUUGUCAAGACCCACACCAGAGUCUCCGUGCAGCGGACCCAGGCUCCAGCUGUGGCUACAACAUAGGGUUUUUAUACAAGAAAAAUAAAGAGAAUUAAGCCUGAAAA
Molecule: RNA transcript, 942 nt
Organism: Cercocebus atys (sooty mangabey)
Lineage: Eukaryota; Metazoa; Chordata; Mammalia; Primates; Cercopithecidae
Gene name: 40S ribosomal protein S2 pseudogene
Exons: 1
Source: RefSeq, a predicted model, not a curated record